GGUCUGUUUAAUUAUGUAAGACUGAGGUUGAUAGGUAAUGUGGUCAAUUUGAUUGGCAGUUUAGGAGGUGGGGCAUUGUAAUUAAAGGUCCACCUUGUCUUUGAUUGUUUAGUGACAAUGACAGUUGUCAAUCAUACUAGUUGAAUCAAUACCCAGUUACCUAAUCAAAAUGUUUUUUUUAAAAAGCCUGCACAUCAACACACCUUAAUGACAUACAUUCUUGAAUGAAC
RNAcentral lists this long non-coding RNA (230 nucleotides) under Mytilus galloprovincialis (Mediterranean mussel). Lineage: Eukaryota; Metazoa; Mollusca; Bivalvia; Mytilida; Mytilidae. The record is from RNAcentral.